This 654-nucleotide long non-coding RNA is filed under the name Marmota monax (woodchuck). Lineage: Eukaryota; Metazoa; Chordata; Mammalia; Rodentia; Sciuridae. The record is from RNAcentral.
GGCGGAGCAGGAAGCCGCGGUGCUAGAAAGCAUGACCUUCAGGUGUUUCCGACUGACAUGUCACAGAAGCACCCCCUCAAGCUGGCCUAAACCUUGGAGACCUCUGUGACCUCAUCCACCCGAGGCCGAAGGUAGGGAGGGCUCUGGGCAGGGUGACCAGCAGCUCCAUGAUGUCCUUCUUUCUUUCUACUUUCCACCUUCAGAGCCAGAUGGCUGUAAGAUGUCGCCUGACAGGAGGGGCCACAGGCCUGCCUGACGUGUCCAGCAGGACGGAGCUCACUCCUGCCCGAGCUGGGACGGCAGCUCCCUGCCCUCGCAUGCACCUGACUUCAGGAGCCCUGGGGCAGGCCUCCGUGGGCAUUGGCAAGGUGCAGGCCCUAGAAGGAACCGAGCAGGAGCGGGGAGGCAUCUGAGGCCACUGUCCCCUGCAGCUGUGUGUGAACCAGCAGCUGCACUUCAUCAAGUCUCAGAGUCUACCACCUGCUUGUUUGUCCAGCCUCUUUCACAUGCACAAGGCAGCAGUCAGCUCCCGGGUCACUUCCAGAAUGGUGACCACAUCUGGCCAUGGUGGGGGUGGGGACUGCCUUUUUCUGUACAUCUCAUUUUUUUUUUUUUUCAUUUUGGUACCGGGGAUUAAACUGAGCCACCUCCUCA